UGGCGAUGCCUCUUAAGCAUGCAAGUCGAGCGGGCUUAUUCGGGCAACUGGAUAAGUUAGCGGCGAACUGGUGAGUAACACGUAGGUAAUCUGCCGUAGAGUGGGGGAUAACCCAUGGAAACAUGGACUAAUACCGCAUAUACUCUUGCUACAUAAGUAGAGUAGAGGAAAGGAGCAAUCCGCUUUACGAUGAGCCUGCGGCCUAUUAGCCUGUUGGUGGGGUAACGGCCUACCAAAGCUACGAUAGGUAGCCGACCUGAGAGGGUGACCGGCCACAUUGGGACUGAGAUACGGCCCAGACUCCUACGGGAGGCAGCAGCUGAGAAUCUUCCACAAUGGACGAAAGUCUGAUGGAGCGACAUCGCGUGAGGGAUGAAGGCCUUCGGGUUGUAAACCUCGGAAAUUAUCGAAGAAUGAGUGACAGUAGAUAAUGUAAG
This 437-nucleotide ribosomal RNA is filed under the name Brachyspira hyodysenteriae. Its description in RNAcentral is "bacterial SSU rRNA". It matches the Rfam family "Bacterial small subunit ribosomal RNA", at positions 37 to 490 of the family's 1533-position model. Lineage: Bacteria; Pseudomonadati; Spirochaetota; Spirochaetia; Brachyspirales; Brachyspiraceae. The record is from RNAcentral.